AGGAAUACUAAAUGAAGAGUUCAAUCAUGAAUCAGAUCUCUUCUUUUGCUUGCCAGUAACACAAGCCAUUUUUAUUUUCCAUUUCAGGUUUCUUUUACAGUAGAGGACAAAAAUAAAUUAUGAGUGAAAAGAAGUUAAAAUUGUUCCUCUUGAGCAACUCUCCUGCAUCAACGCUUAAUCCUUCCAGUGGACUAGAAGAAAUAAAGAAGACAGGAUGCCAUUGCAGGAAGAUAUUACAAUGCAAGAGGUUGCCUCCAUCUCACUGCUGCUGAACUUCCUACGUCUUGUCCCCAACGUGUUGUCCUUUGAGUCACAGAUGGAAGGCUGGGCUGCUAAACUGCAGGAACCCUGGACUUCCACACAGAAAUGUUGCAGCCAAAUAUAGAUGAUCGAUUCCAGAGCACGUUGGCAACCUUCUGAUGUUAUUUCUGGAUUUGGAGAAGUAUUAUUUCCCACAGGCACUUACAUAGCUGGAUGUUGAUCACGUUUUAGUUGGCUAAUAACAGUUUUGCACUGCUUUGUGUCCCUCACACAGCCCUGGUGACAGGCAGAGGUUUUUUUCCAAGAGUUGGGGCAGUUAAUUGUGUAUAAUUUGUGCAAGUUGUACACUGUAUUUUUUCUAGGAGCACUGUUUAGUAUUUCUUAUAUUGCUGAAUUGUGUUCAGCAGUAAUAAUAUUGUAUGAUUGCAAUACUCCAAUAAUAAGUAAAAAGGAGUUCUUUACUAAAUCCCACCACAUGCUGUAGUAGUUUUCUAACUUCAGUUUGCAUUCUACCUCCUAAAACCCAGACUGACUGAACCCUACCUCUGCCAGCUCUUCCUUGCACAUACUGGCACAUAGAGCAAAUGAUAGGAUCUUCCAUUUAAAUCUUCAGUGAAGAUUUUUAAUUAAAAGAGCUGUAUAAUAUUACAAUUCACAGGCUAGAUUGAUUUUAUGAUUUUUUUUUAUUUUUU
This 953-nucleotide long non-coding RNA is filed under the name Manacus vitellinus (golden-collared manakin). RNAcentral's name for it is "lncRNA (ENSMVIG00005016163.1)". The record is from RNAcentral. Lineage: Eukaryota; Metazoa; Chordata; Aves; Passeriformes; Pipridae.